Long non-coding RNA from Homo sapiens (human), 867 nucleotides. Ensembl annotates it as CHUK divergent transcript. Its record names the gene CHUK-DT. Lineage: Eukaryota; Metazoa; Chordata; Mammalia; Primates; Hominidae. The record is from Ensembl.
GCGUCACUUCCGGUAACCGCUGCGAGAAGGCCCUUCCCUAAGUUCUCCCAGGGCGCUGCCAGAGCCCUGCCGGCUAAGGGAUGGGGAAACAAACAGGUGGGGCUGUAAUCUCGUAAUUCCCAGUCAAAAGAGGUAGGAAGGGAUGCUGAGGACCCAGGGAUACUGAUGAUUGGGCUGACCCAGAAGUGGCCAUCUUUGUGGAAACCAGUCAUCCAGAGUAAAGUCAUAGGGCUCAAAGUCUUUCCGGAAGCGGCGAGCCAGGGUCUCCUCGUCUUCCUUGCUGAUCUGACACUGCCUCCAGUCAGACUUAUCAGGAACAUUAAGGAUGGCUUCACUGGCCAGGACCUCCCUGCAGAAAUAGCACAAAGAAGUCAAAAUGGAAACUAUCAGCCUGAGCUCUCCUCAACAUCACCCAAAGGAGGGGACUCAGGCCCACGUAACAGCAGCACAAGCCCAAUGUCAACAAAACAACUAUCUUGGCUCUUAGGACUAAAGAAUAACUACAUACAGACACACUCACACACAAGCUGCCUUCUAAUCGCCAUUGCUUUAUAUUUUUAUUUUUACUUAUUUUGAUAUAUUAGAAAUAAUUCUAUUACACAUUUAUAUGGUUCAUUUUCCACUUUGAAGUUACAGUAAAUAGAAGAGUUAGAAACAAAUCAUGAAUUCUCUAUAAGUCAAAGAACCUAAGCUCCCUGGGCAAACUUUGAGCCUAUUUCAAAUAUAAAAGGAAAAUAGAACUACCUUUCUUGUACAGCUGAAAAAAAUAUGCCAUUUCAAAUAUUUUGUUAACUAUAAAAUGCUAUAUAACUAUAAAUUAGUAUCUUGAUAAUUACUCAAUAUUGAAAAUACAUCAUAAGCACAAAA